This 1157-nucleotide ribosomal RNA is filed under the name Candidatus Phytoplasma sacchari. RNAcentral describes it as "bacterial SSU rRNA". It matches the Rfam family "Bacterial small subunit ribosomal RNA", at positions 180 to 1336 of the family's 1533-position model. The record is from RNAcentral. Lineage: Bacteria; Bacillati; Mycoplasmatota; Mollicutes; Acholeplasmatales; Acholeplasmataceae.
GGGAUGGGCCAUCUUUUUAUUUUUAAAAGACCUUUUUCGGAAGGUAUGCUUAAAGAGGGGCUUGCGUCACAUUAGUUAGUUGGCAGGGUAAAGGCCUACCAAGACUAUGAUGUGUAGCUGGACUGAGAGGUUGAACAGCCACAUUGGGACUGAGACACGGCCCAAACUCCUACGGGAGGCAGCAGUAGGGAAUUUUCGGCAAUGGAGGAAACUCUGACCGAGCAACGCCGCGUGAACGAUGAAGUAUUUCGGUAUGUAAAGUUCUUUUAUUGAAGAAGAAAAAAUAGUGGAAAAACUAUCUUGACGAUAUUCAAUGAAUAAGCCCCGGCAAACUAUGUGCCAGCAGCCGCGGUAAUACAUAGGGGGCGAGCGUUAUCCGGAAUUAUUGGGCGUAAAGGGUGCGUAGGCGGUUUAAUAAGUCUAUAGUUUAAUUUCAGUGCUUAACACUGUCCUGCUAUAGAAACUAUUAGACUAGAGUGAGAUAGAGGCAAGUGGAAUUCCAUGUGUAGCGGUAAAAUGCGUAAAUAUAUGGAGGAACACCAGAGGCGUAGGCGGCUUGCUGGGUCUUUACUGACGCUGAGGCACGAAAGCGUGGGGAGCAAACAGGAUUAGAUACCCUGGUAGUCCACGCCGUAAACGAUGAGUACUAAGUGUCGGGAUUACUCGGUACUGAAGUUAACACAUUAAGUACUCCGCCUGAGUAGUACGUACGCAAGUAUGAAACUUAAAGGAAUUGACGGGACUCCGCACAAGCGGUGGAUCAUGUUGUUUAAUUCGAAGAUACACGAAAAACCUUACCAGGUCUUGACAUACUCUGCAAAGCUAUAGCAAUAUAGUGGAGGUUAUCAGGGAUACAGGUGGUGCAUGGUUGUCGUCAGCUCGUGUCGUGAGAUGUUAGGUUAAGUCCUAAAACGAGCGCAACCCUUGUCAUUAGUUGCCAGCAUGUCAUGAUGGGCACUUUAAUGAGACUGCCAAUGAAAAAUUGGAGGAAGGUGAGGAUCACGUCAAAUCAUCAUGCCCCUUAUGAUCUGGGCUACAAACGUGAUACAAUGGCUGUUACAAAGAGUAGCUGAAACGCAAGUUUAUAGCCAAUCUCAUAAAAGCAGUCUCAGUUCGGAUUGAAGUCUGCAACUCGACUUCAUGAAGUUGGAAUCGCU